This 700-nucleotide ribosomal RNA is filed under the name uncultured Actinomycetes bacterium. RNAcentral describes it as "bacterial SSU rRNA". It matches the Rfam family "Bacterial small subunit ribosomal RNA", at positions 78 to 791 of the family's 1533-position model. The record is from RNAcentral. Lineage: Bacteria; Bacillati; Actinomycetota; Actinomycetes.
GCUUGCUCCGGUGGAUUAGUGGCGAACGGGUGAGUAACACGUGAGAAAUCUGCCCUUGACUCUGGGAUAACUGCGGGAAACUGUAGCUAAUACCGGAUACUUUCCCUGGUGGGCAUCCACUAGGGAAGAAAGAAUUUCGGUCAAGGAUGAUCUCGCGGCCUAUCAGCUAGUUGGUGAGGUAAUGGCUCACCAAGGCGACGACGGGUAGCCGGCCUGAGAGGGUGACCGGCCACACUGGAACUGAGACACGGUCCAGACUCCUACGGGAGGCAGCAGUGGGGAAUAUUGCACAAUGGGCGAAAGCCUGAUGCAGCAACGCCGCGUGAGGGACGAAGGCCUUCGGGUUGUAAACCUCUUUUAGCAGGGAAGAAGCGAAAGUGACGGUACCUGCAGAAAAAGCACCGGCUAACUACGUGCCUGCAGCCGCGGUAAUACGUAGGGUGCAAGCGUUGUCCGGAAUUAUUGGGCGUAAAGAGCUCGUAGGCGGUUUGUCACGUCUGCUGUGAAAUUUCGAGGCUCAACCUCGAACUUGCAGUGGGUACGGGCAGGCUAGAGUGCGGUAGGGGAGAUGGGAAUUCCUGGUGUAGCGGUGGAAUGCGCAGAUAUCAGGAGGAACACCAAUGGCGAAGGCACAUCUCUGGGCCGUAACUGACGCUGAGGAGCGAAAGCGUGGGGAGCGAACAGGAUUAGAUACCCUGGU